GGGGCAUUAGCUCAGCUGGGAGAGCGCAUGGCUGGCAGCCAUGAGGUCGGGGGUUCGAUCCCCCCAUGUUCCACCA
RNAcentral lists this transfer RNA (76 nucleotides) under Allobaculum sp. RNAcentral describes it as "tRNA-Ala". It matches the Rfam family "tRNA". Rfam says of the family: Transfer RNA (tRNA) molecules are approximately 80 nucleotides in length. Their secondary structure includes four short double-helical elements and three loops (D, anti-codon, and T loops). Further hydrogen bonds mediate the characteristic L-shaped molecular structure. tRNAs have two regions of fundamental functional importance: the anti-codon, which is responsible for specific mRNA codon recognition, and the 3' end, to which the tRNAs corresponding amino acid is attached (by aminoacyl-tRNA synthetases). tRNAs cope with the degeneracy of the genetic code in two manners: having more than one tRNA (with a specific anti-codon) for a particular amino acid; and 'wobble' base-pairing, i.e. permitting non-standard base-pairing at the 3rd anti-codon position. The record is from RNAcentral. Lineage: Bacteria; Bacillati; Bacillota; Erysipelotrichia; Erysipelotrichales; Erysipelotrichaceae.